UCCUACGGGAGGCAGCAGUGGGGAAUAUUGCACAAUGGGCGCAAGCCUGAUGCAGCGACGCCGCGUGAGGGAUGACGGCCUUCGGGUUGUAAACCUCUUUCAGUAGGGAAGAAGCGAAAGUGACGGUACCUGCAGAAGAAGCGCCGGCUAACUACGUGCCAGCAGCCGCGGUAAUACGUAGGGCGCAAGCGUUAUCCGGAAUUAUUGGGCGUAAAGAGCUCGUAGGCGGUUUGUCGCGUCUGCCGUGAAAGUCCGGGGCUCAACUCCGGAUCUGCGGUGGGUACGGGCAGACUAGAGUGAUGUAGGGGAGACUGGAAUUCCUGGUGUAGCGGUGAAAUGCGCAGAUAUCAGGAGGAACACCGAUGGCGAAGGCAGGUCUCUGGGCAUUAACUGACGCUGAGGAGCGAAAGCAUGGGGAGCGAACAGGAUUAGAUACCCUGGUAGUCCAUGCCGUAAACGUUGGGCACUAGGUGUGGGGGACAUUCCACGUUUUCCGCUCCGUAGGUAACGCAUUUCCUCCUGGGGGCGGGGGGUAUUUUUUUUC
RNAcentral lists this ribosomal RNA (544 nucleotides) under uncultured Arthrobacter sp. RNAcentral's name for it is "bacterial SSU rRNA". It matches the Rfam family "Bacterial small subunit ribosomal RNA", at positions 337 to 873 of the family's 1533-position model. The record is from RNAcentral. Lineage: Bacteria; Bacillati; Actinomycetota; Actinomycetes; Micrococcales; Micrococcaceae.